CUGGCGGCGUGCUUAACACAUGCAAGUCGAACGGAGUGAAGGGGAGCUUGCUCCUUGGAACUUAGUGGCAAACGGGUGAGUAACGCGUAGGCAACCUGCCCUUCAGAUGGGGACAACAUUUCGAAAGGAAUGCUAAUACCGAAUGACGUGCAUUGGUCGCAUGACCGAUGCACCAAAGGCCGGGCAACCGGUCACUGAAGGAUGGGCCUGCGUCUGAUUAGCUAGUUGGUGGGGUAACGGCCCACCAAGGCGACGAUCAGUAGCCGGUCUGAGAGGAUGAACGGCCACAUUGGGACUGAGACACGGCCCAAACUCCUACGGGAGGCAGCAGUGGGGAAUCUUCCGCAAUGGGCGCAAGCCUGACGGAGCAACGCCGCGUGAGUGAAGGAAAGGUUUUCGGAUCGUAAAGCUCUGUUGUCAGGGACGAGAGACUUGAUCAGGAAAUGGGUCAAGGAGGACGGUACCUGGCGAGAAAGCCACGGCUAACUACGUGCCAGCCGCUGC
This 504-nucleotide ribosomal RNA is filed under the name uncultured bacterium. RNAcentral describes it as "bacterial SSU rRNA". It matches the Rfam family "Bacterial small subunit ribosomal RNA", at positions 36 to 518 of the family's 1533-position model. The record is from RNAcentral.